RNAcentral lists this ribosomal RNA (253 nucleotides) under uncultured bacterium. RNAcentral's name for it is "partial 16S ribosomal RNA". It matches the Rfam family "Bacterial small subunit ribosomal RNA", at positions 524 to 776 of the family's 1533-position model. The record is from RNAcentral.
UACGUAGGGGGCAAGCGUUGUCCGGAAUCAUUGGGCGUAAAGAGCGUGUAGGCGGCCCGAUAAGUCCGCUGUGAAAGUCCAGGGCUCAACCCUGGAAUGCCGGUGGAUACUGUCGGGCUCGAGUUCGGAAGAGGUGAGUGGAAUUCCUGGUGUAGCGGUGAAAUGCGCAGAUAUCAGGAGGAACACCGGUGGCGAAGGCGGCAUCCUGGACCGGCAUUGACGCUGAGGCGCGAAAGCCAGGGGAGCAAACGGG